Molecule: ribosomal RNA, 253 nt
Filed under: uncultured bacterium
Lineage: Bacteria
Description: partial 16S ribosomal RNA
Rfam family: Bacterial small subunit ribosomal RNA
Source: RNAcentral
UACGUAGGGGGCCAGCGUUGUUCGGAAUUACUGGGUGUAAAGGGUUCGUAGGCGGUGCGGCAAGUCGGGAGUGAAAUCUCUGGGCUUAACCCAGAGGCUGCUUCCGAAACUGCUGUGCUUGAGUGUGGGAGAGGCGCGUGGAAUUGCAGGUGUAGCGGUGAAAUGCGUAGAUAUCAAGAGGAACACCUGAGGUGAAGACGGGUUGCUGGGCCAACACUGACGCUGAGGCGCGAAAGCCAGGGGAGCAAACGGG